UACAGAGGGUGCAAACGUUGCUCGGAAUCAUUGGGCGUAAAGCGCACGUAGGCGGCUCGUUAAGUCGGGUGUGAAAGCCCCGGGCUCAACCCGGGAAGUGCACUCGAUACUGGCGAGCUAGAGUAUGGAAGAGGGUCGCGGAAUUCCCGGUGUAGAGGUGAAAUUCGUAGAUAUCGGGAGGAACACCAGUGGCGAAGGCGGCGACCUGGGCCAAUACUGACGCCGAGGUGCGAAAGCGUGGGGAGCAAACAGG
RNAcentral lists this ribosomal RNA (253 nucleotides) under uncultured bacterium. RNAcentral's name for it is "partial 16S ribosomal RNA". It matches the Rfam family "Bacterial small subunit ribosomal RNA", at positions 524 to 776 of the family's 1533-position model. The record is from RNAcentral.